UGUUGUUAAGGAGUUGUUAUGUUCUAACAUCUCACAUUCCUACAUUUAUUUUUAGUUUAGCAGACAGUACAUUAGUCAGACAUAUUCUUCAAACAUGAAAAUGCCUUAAUAGAAAUAAAAGAAACAAAUAUUAAGCUGGUAUUUCUCUUUUUUCUGACAGUUGGACAGCAGUACAAUCACAGCAGACAGUAUGAGGAGCUUACUGUUGGCAGGUUGCCACGGCAACCAGGUUUUUCCAUUGUAGCGCAAGGCGUAGCAAGACCAUACGUUUGUAGGGACUGAAAGCAACACAUUGAAAUGAUUAUCCAUGGAGGUGUUAAAAAUGAUGAACGAUGAUGCGACCGCUGCACGAGGCACAGCAGAUAUCAGCCUUUACAACUGCUCCGGUGUCAGACCUCCUCCUGUUUCUAGUCGUUUCCUUCACCUAAUCCUUCCCUGGAGGGAGAAUAUUUUUGCUGGAGGACCAGAUUUGACCCGCAGGCUUGUAUUUGCCUUCUACUGAUCCACAUACUCUAAACUAUGGAGCCAGUUUAGAUGAGUCUCAUGUGGUAGGUACGUCUUAAUUUUGCUCUUAGAUUAGUCUGAUGCAAAUUAGAUUGUUUCACAAAAAUAAAGAAGAGCCUUAUUUUAACAAACUCAGAGUUAAAGAGCAAAGUUUCCAUGGUAACAACACCACCAACAUCUUCAGCACCAUUUAUGUGUUUCCAUAUGGCCCCCCCUCCUGUUUUAGGAUUGCUUUGAUUUGAU
Molecule: long non-coding RNA, 747 nt
Organism: Thunnus maccoyii (southern bluefin tuna)
Lineage: Eukaryota; Metazoa; Chordata; Actinopteri; Scombriformes; Scombridae
Exons: 3
Source: RefSeq, a predicted model, not a curated record